GCAGUCGAGCGGGAUUAGCUUUAUUCAAUUCUUCGGAAGAGAAAAUUGCUAUGAGAGCGGCGAACGGGUGAGUAAUAUAUGGGUAAUUUGCCUCUUUGUUCGGGAUAGCCAUCGGAAACGAUGAUUAAUACCGGAUGUGAUCGGUCACUGCAUAGUGACCUCUUUAAAGGUGGGGAAUCUUCGGAUCCUAUCGCAAAGAGAUAAGCCCAUACCCUAUCAGCUAGUUGGUGAGGUAAUGGCUCACCAAGGCUUACGGGUAGCUGGUCUGAGAGGAUGGUCAGCCACACUGGGACUGAGACACUGCCCAGACUCCUACGGGAGGCUGCAGUCGAGAAUCAUUGACAAUGUACGAAAGUAUGAUCAUGCGACGCCGCGUGGAGGAAGACGGCCUUCGGGUUGUAAACUCCUGUCAGCAGGGAGGAAAGGCAGCACUACUAAUAUCAGUGUUGUUUGACAGUACCUGCAGAGGAAGUCACGGCUAACUCUGUGCCAGCAGCCGCGGUAAUACAGAGGUGGCGAACGUUGUUCGGAUUUACUGGGCGUAAAGGGUCCGCAGGCGGUCCGGUGUGUCGGAUGUGAAAGCCCACGGCUUAACCGUGGAAUUGCAUUCGAAACUACCGGACUAGAGUACUGGAGGGGAGAAGGGAACACUUGGUGUAGCGGUGAAAUGCGUAGAUAUCAAGUGGAACACCGGAGGCGAAGGCGCUUCUCUGGACAGAUACUGACGCUCAUGGAC
RNAcentral lists this ribosomal RNA (736 nucleotides) under uncultured bacterium. Its description in RNAcentral is "bacterial SSU rRNA". It matches the Rfam family "Bacterial small subunit ribosomal RNA", at positions 57 to 754 of the family's 1533-position model. The record is from RNAcentral.